AGCUCCAAUAGCGUAUAUUAAAGUUGUUGCAGUUAAAAAGCUCGUAGUUGAACCUUGGGCUUGGUUGGCCGGUCCGCCUUUUUGGCGAGUACUGGACCCAACCGAGCCUUUCCUUCUGGCUAACCUUUCGCCCUUGUGGUGUUUGGCGAACCAGGACUUUUACUUUGAAAAAAUUAGAGUGUUCAAAGCAGGCCUUUGCUCGAAUAUAUUAGCAUGGAAUAAUAGAAUAGGACGUUACGGUUCUAUUUUGUUGGUUUCUAGGACCAUCGUAAUGAUUAAUAGGGACGGUCGGGGGCAUCAGUAUUCAGUUGUCAGAGGUGAAAUUCUUGGAUUACCUGAAGACUAACUACUGCGAAAGCAUUUGCCAAGGACGUUUUCAUUA
Molecule: ribosomal RNA, 382 nt
Filed under: Debaryomyces sp.
Lineage: Eukaryota; Fungi; Ascomycota; Pichiomycetes; Serinales; Debaryomycetaceae
Description: partial small subunit ribosomal RNA
Rfam family: Eukaryotic small subunit ribosomal RNA
Source: RNAcentral